GGCAGAGCAUUGGGAUCACGGACGGCGGCAGAGCAUUGGGAUCACGGACGGUGGCAGAGCAUUGGGAUCACGGACGGUGGCUGAGCAUUGGGAUCACGGACGGUGGCUGAGCAUUGGGAUCACUGCAGAGCAGUGAAAUCACAGUAGGGCAGUGAAAUCACGGCAGAGCAGUGAAAUCACGGUAGAGCAGUGAAAUCACGGCAGAGCAGUGAAAUCACGGUGGAGUAUUCCUCAGCUGCUUCCCUCCUUUGUAUGCAUUCCUUUGCUGCUUCCCUCCUUUGCUGCUUCCCAUCCAAGCUUGAACACUCUGCGCGGAGCAUGGAAGACCCGGGGGGGUGCAACCAACUUUCGCGGCUUACGAUUGAAAGAACACCCUGCACGGAGCAUGGAAAACCCGGGGGGUGUGACCAACUUUCGUGGCUUACGGUUAAAGCAACCUCUGCGCGGAGCAUGGAAAACCCGGGGGGUGCAACCAACUUUCGCGGCUUAUGAUUAAGUGCUAUCUCUGCGCGGAGCAUGGAGGGCCCGGGUGGGUCAACCAACUUUCGCGGCUUACGAUUGACAGGAACACCCUGCACGGAGCAUGGAGGGCCCGGUGGUGUGACCAACUUUCGUGGCUUACGGUUAAGUGCAACCUCUGCGCGGAGCAUGGAGGGACCCGGGGGGUGCAACCAACUUUCGCGGCUUAUGAUUAAGUGCAAUCUCUGCGCGGNNNNNNNNNNNNNAACUUUCGACGGCUUACGAUUAAAGAACCCUGCACGGAGCAUGGAAGACCCGGGGGGUGCAACCAACUUUCGUGGCUUACGGUUAAGUGCAACCUCUGCGCGGAGCAUAGAGGACCCGGGGGUGCGAACCGAACUUUCGCGGCUUAUGAUUAAGUGCAACCUCUGCGCGGAGCAUGGAAGGCCCGGGUGGCGCAACCAACUUUCGCG
RNAcentral lists this long non-coding RNA (932 nucleotides) under Salvia miltiorrhiza (redroot sage). Its description in RNAcentral is "long non-coding RNA (SMIL_LNC007092)". Lineage: Eukaryota; Viridiplantae; Streptophyta; Magnoliopsida; Lamiales; Lamiaceae. The record is from RNAcentral.